This 236-nucleotide ribosomal RNA is filed under the name Scopelocheirus schellenbergi. RNAcentral's name for it is "partial 16S ribosomal RNA". The record is from RNAcentral. Lineage: Eukaryota; Metazoa; Arthropoda; Malacostraca; Amphipoda; Lysianassidae.
CUUCUGCUCUUCAAGGUCUUUUAAUUCAACAUCGAGGGCCCCAUCCAUUUCACUAGAUAGAACUUCCCAAAAUUAUUUACGCUGUAUCCCCUAAGGUAACUCAUCCAUUUUACCCAUUUUUAAGGACCCAAACCCCAUUUUAUAUGUAUACCACUACCUUUAAUUUUACAGAAACCCCCCCCAAGUCCUUGUCCGAUCUUAAUCCAAAAUAAAUCCCCAAAAUAAAGCUUUGUGGG